CGGGCGUUAAGUUGCAGGGUAUAGACCCGAAACCCGGUGAUCUAGCCAUGGGCAGGUUGAAGGUUGGGUAACACUAACUGGAGGACCGAACCGACUAAUGUUGAAAAAUUAGCGGAUGACCUGUGGCUGGGGGUGAAAGGCCAAUCAAACCGGGAGAUAGCUGGUUCUCCCCGAAAGCUAUUUAGGUAGCGCCUCGUGAAUUCAUCUCCGGGGGUAGAGCACUGUUUCGGCUAGGGGGCCAUCCCGGCUUACCAACCCGAUGCAAACUGCGAAUACCGGAGAAUGUUAUCACGGGAGACACACGGCGGGUGCUAACGUCCGUCGUGAAGAGGGAAACAACCCAGACCGCCAGCUAAGGUCCCAAAGUCAUGGUUAAGUGGGAAACGAUGUGGGAAGGCCCAGACAGCCAGGAUGUUGGCUUAGAAGCAGCCAUCAUUUAAAGAAAGCGUAAUAGCUCACUGGUCGAGUCGGCCUGCGCGGAAGAUGUAACGGGGCUAAACCAUGCACCGAAGCUGCGGCAGCGACACUGUGUGUUGUUGGGUAGGGGAGCGUUCUGUAAGCCUG
RNAcentral lists this ribosomal RNA (564 nucleotides) under Salmonella enterica subsp. enterica serovar Enteritidis. Its description in RNAcentral is "partial 23S ribosomal RNA". It matches the Rfam family "Bacterial large subunit ribosomal RNA", at positions 689 to 1251 of the family's 2925-position model. Lineage: Bacteria; Pseudomonadati; Pseudomonadota; Gammaproteobacteria; Enterobacterales; Enterobacteriaceae. The record is from RNAcentral.